RNAcentral lists this long non-coding RNA (240 nucleotides) under Sorghum bicolor (sorghum). Its description in RNAcentral is "long non-coding RNA (SBIC_LNC010993)". The record is from RNAcentral. Lineage: Eukaryota; Viridiplantae; Streptophyta; Magnoliopsida; Poales; Poaceae.
GGACAAGUGUGCUAAUGCUUUCCUCAAGAAGUUCUUCCCAGCGAGCAAGACCAGUGCUGAAAGCCCUAGUUUGGUUUUGGAUAAUUGAAGAAACCCUAGUACUAACCUCUAUGCUAAGUGUGUGUAGACUUAAUGAGGUUGCUACAUGCCAAGUGAUGGAGCAAGUGAUGAUCAUGGUGAUGUUGUUAAUGACCACAAGAUGAUCAAGUGCUCAACUUGGAAAAGAAGAAAGAGAAAAAC